Molecule: ribosomal RNA, 529 nt
Filed under: uncultured bacterium
Lineage: Bacteria
Description: partial 16S ribosomal RNA
Rfam family: Bacterial small subunit ribosomal RNA
Source: RNAcentral
UGGGGAAUAUUGCACAAUGGGCGAAAGCCUGAUGCAGCAACGCCGCGUGAGUGAUGAAGGUCUUCGGAUUGUAAAGCUCUGUCCUUUGGGACGAUAAUGACGGUACCAAAGGAGGAAGCCACGGCUAACUACGUGCCAGCAGCCGCGGUAAUACGUAGGUGGCGAGCGUUGUCCGGAUUUACUGGGCGUAAAGGGUGCGUAGGCGGAUGUUUAAGUGAGAUGUGAAAUACCCGGGCUUAACUUGGGUGCUGCAUUUCAAACUGGAUAUCUAGAGUGCAGGAGAGGAGAAUGGAAUUCCUAGUGUAGCGGUGAAAUGCGUAGAGAUUAGGAAGAACACCAGUGGCGAAGGCGAUCCUCUGGACUGUAACUGACGCUGAGGCACGAAGGCGUGGGUAGCAAACAGGAUUAGAUACCCUGGUAGUCCACGCCGUAAACGAUGAGUACUAGGUGUAGGAGGUAUCGACCCCUUCUGUGCCGCAGUAAACACAUUAAGUACUCCGCCUGGGAAGUACGAUCGCAAGAUUAAAAC